Molecule: ribosomal RNA, 529 nt
Filed under: uncultured Enterobacteriaceae bacterium
Lineage: Bacteria; Pseudomonadati; Pseudomonadota; Gammaproteobacteria; Enterobacterales; Enterobacteriaceae
Description: bacterial SSU rRNA
Rfam family: Bacterial small subunit ribosomal RNA
Source: RNAcentral
ACCUGGUCUGACAUCCAUAGAAUCUUUCAGAGAUGAGAGAGUGCCUUCGGGAGCUAUGAGACAGGUGCUGCAUGGCUGUCGUCAGCCCGUGUUGUGAAAUGUGGGGUUAAGUCCCGCAACGAGCGCAACCCCUAUCCUUUGUUGCCAGCACGUAAUGGUGGGAACUCAAAGGAGACUGCCGUUGAUAAAGCGGAGGAAGGUGGGGACGACGUCAAGUCAUCAUGGCCCUUACGACCAGGGCUACACACGUGCUACAAUGGCGUAUACAAAGGGAUGCGAAGGUGCGAACUGGAGCGGACCUCACAAAGUACGUCUAAGUCCGGAUUGGAGUCUGCAACUCGACUCCAUGAAGUCGGAAUCGCUAGUAAUCGUGAAUCAGAAUGUCACGGUGAAUACGUUCCCGGGCCUUGUACACACCGCCCGUCACACCAUGGGAGUGGGUUGCACCAGAAGUAGAUAGCUUAACCUUCGGGAGGGCGUUUACCACGGUGUGGUUCAUGACUGGGGUGAAGUCGUAACAAGGUAACCA